AUUGAACGCUGGCGGCAUGCCUUACACAUGCAAGUCGAACGGCAGCGGACCUUCGGGUGCCGGCGAGUGGCGAACGGGUGAGUAAUAUAUCGGAACGUACCUUUCAGUGGGGGAUAACGUAGCGAAAGUUACGCUAAUACCGCAUAUUCUGUGAGCAGGAAAGCAGGGGAUCGCAAGACCUUGCGCUGAUUGAGCGGCCGAUAUCAGAUUAGCUAGUUGGUGAGGUAAAGGCUCACCAAGGCGACGAUCUGUAGCGGGUCUGAGAGGAUGAUCCGCUACACUGGAACUGAGACACGGUCCAGACUCCUACGGGAGGCAGCAGUGGGGAAUUUUGGACAAUGGGCGCAAGCCUGAUCCAGCCAUGCCGCGUGAGUGAAGAAGGCCUCGGUUGUAAG
RNAcentral lists this ribosomal RNA (395 nucleotides) under uncultured bacterium. RNAcentral describes it as "bacterial SSU rRNA". It matches the Rfam family "Bacterial small subunit ribosomal RNA", at positions 30 to 429 of the family's 1533-position model. The record is from RNAcentral.